UCCAUGGUCUAGAGGUAGCGUACUUGCCUCGAAAGCUCUGGGUCCCGGGUUCGAUUCCCGGUCGAGGAA
Molecule: transfer RNA, 69 nt
Filed under: Rhamnusium bicolor
Lineage: Eukaryota; Metazoa; Arthropoda; Insecta; Coleoptera; Cerambycidae
Description: tRNA-OTHER
Source: RNAcentral